UCUUUUUUUUCUUUUUUUUUU
RNAcentral lists this unclassified non-coding RNA (21 nucleotides) under Trypanosoma sp. MVOM/AU/97/H26. The record is from RNAcentral. Lineage: Eukaryota; Euglenozoa; Kinetoplastea; Trypanosomatida; Trypanosomatidae.